RNAcentral lists this ribosomal RNA (201 nucleotides) under uncultured bacterium. RNAcentral's name for it is "partial 16S ribosomal RNA". It matches the Rfam family "Bacterial small subunit ribosomal RNA", at positions 326 to 539 of the family's 1533-position model. The record is from RNAcentral.
ACGCUCGACACCUACGGGAAGCAGCAGUGGGGAAUAUUGGGCAAUGGGCGCAAGCCUGACCCAGCAACGCCGCGUGAAGGAAGAAGGCUUUCGGGUUGUAAACUUCUUUUAUCAGGGACGAAAUAAAUGACGGUACCUGAUGAAUAAGCCACGGCUAACUACGUGCCAGCAGCCGCGGUAAUCUGAGCGGGCUGGCAAGGC